GCAAGUCGAACGGUAACAGGAAAGAGCUUGCUUUUUUGCUGACGAGUGGCGCACGGGUGCGUAACGCGUAUACAAUCUACCUUUUACAGGGGGAUAGCCUUUAGAAAUGAAGAUUAAUACCCCAUAGUAUCUAUAUUUCGCAUGGAAAUUAGAUUAAAGAUUCGUCGGUAAAAGAUGAGUAUGCGUUCUAUUAGCUAGAUGGUGUGGUAACGGCACACCAUGGCAACGAUAGAUAGGGGCCCUGAGAGGGGGAUC
This 255-nucleotide ribosomal RNA is filed under the name uncultured bacterium. RNAcentral's name for it is "partial 16S ribosomal RNA". It matches the Rfam family "Bacterial small subunit ribosomal RNA", at positions 57 to 305 of the family's 1533-position model. The record is from RNAcentral.